Fundulus heteroclitus (mummichog) is the source of this 2881-nucleotide RNA transcript. RefSeq lists it as uncharacterized. Lineage: Eukaryota; Metazoa; Chordata; Actinopteri; Cyprinodontiformes; Fundulidae. The transcript has 2 exons. The record is from RefSeq and is a predicted model, not a curated record.
GCUUCUCUGCCUUAGUAGACCCUGUAACGCAGAUUUUCUUUCCUUCUGAUACUUUCCUUGUGAGAGACAGACGUGUUUCAGUGAGAGAAAACCAGUUAGCGAUAGUUUGUGAUAGUUUGCCAUCGAUAGAUAAUCCCAGAGUUUGCUUGAAGAACCAGCGCAAACGGAGAAGCCAUGAACGCCUCCACCAGUUCAAAGGCUCCAAGAGUCCCAGUUAUUACUGUGGACAUGAUCACACCAACGAUCCAAGAUUUCAUUUUGUCCAUCUCCUUGAAGCAGAGCAUGGAUUUGACCUCAGGACAACUUGAUGGUGACACCAAGUCCAAGGUAAAGGAGCUGCUGUUGAAGCUAGAGGAGAAAUGUACCGCCUUCGUUCUGCGUAAAAUCUACAAAGGACGCCUCAGAUCUUUGGACGUGGAAACCGUUGUGGGCGACUCAGUGCUAAGAUCAUUUGCAGACGUCCUUUGGGUUGAAGGAACGACUCCCCCCAAGAACUUUGACAAGUUUAACAAGUCAUUUGUUAAACAUGUCAAAGGAAAAGUGAGAUCUUCCCUCUGCUGCAUGAAUGAUCCAGCAGCUUCCUUCGUCCUGCAAAUCUCUGAGAAGGACACGGUGGAUUCAAUGGUUCCACUUGCAGUGACAUUGAUAAAGGAGCUGUUAGAGAUGAAAAAUGAAGAACGUCAGCAGAGGCUGCUGCGAAAAGCUGCUGAAGGCCAGCAAAAUGCCCUCAAGGAGCAGCAGACAGGAGAGCUUCACCACCAUGGACGGUACCAGGUGCUACCGACAAUCCCAGAGGAACCAGAACUUGAAGAGGCAGCAGCAGAGAUGAACGAGGUAAAUUAUUUUAACUUUAAAGAGAUGGAAUCAGAGCUUUAGAUGGUGGAUGAAUUUAUAUCUGAUAAUAUUUCUGAAAUCAUUUAGUUAAAUAAUUUUAUCUCUUAGGAAAAGGAGUCUGAGUUGAAGAUGGUGGAUGAAUUCAUCUCUGAGGAACUUUCAAAGAUUAAUGAGGUAAAUUAUUUUAACUUUAAAGAGGUGGAAUCAGAGCUUUAGAUGGUGGAUGAAUUUAUAUCUGAUGAGAUUUCUGAAAUGAUUUAGUUAAAUAAUUGUAUCUCUUAGAAAAAGAUGUCGGCGUUAAAGAUGGUGGACAGAUUCAUCUCUGAGGAACUAGGAGUAGUCAAAGACAUCCACAUUCCACAGAAGAAAAAGCGUCCUCAGAGCUCUAGGAAGUCCUGCAGUAGGUACCACCAUGGACGGUACGAGGUGCUACCGGUCACCCCAGAGGAACCAGAACUUGAAGAGGCACCAGCAGAGAUGAAUGAGGUAAAUUAUUUUAACUUUAAAGAGAUGGAAUCAGAGCUUUAGAUGGUGGAUGAAUUUGUAUCUGAUAAUAUUUCUGAAAUGAUUAUGGUAAUUAUUUUAUCUCUUAGGAAAAGGAGUCAGAGUUGAAAAUGGUGGACGAAUUCAUCUCUGAAAAUGGAGGCUUGAAGGAUAGAGUUGCUACAGCUACAGCAAAACAGCAGAACAGAGGAGUUGGAGUCAGGAUCCAAAGGUUCCUUCAAAAAUACAGUGAGCGACGAUACAAGAGAGUUUCACCAGAGUUACUGGCUGUUAAAGAGGAACUGAGAAAGCAGGAGACGGAUGUUACAGAGGUUCAAAAAUCUGUGUCAGAGGAGCAGAUUCAUCAAGUAAUGAAUAGAAAGGAAAGAGAAGUUAAGCCGGCACCAGAAGCUACCACACAGGUUGAUGAGCCGCUGCCCAUGGAUUCAGGCUCAGAGAAGGAGGAGCAGCAGUCAUUCAUCAGCCUGCUGGUUCAUGCACUGGUUAUACAGGCUGUUACUAAAUCAAAGAUGAGGUGCAAAUACACAAAGUUUCAAGAAAUCACCAAGAGGCUGUCUGAGAAACUCUGUGCUGAGGUGGAGGGAGGAGAAUUUAAGAAGAACCAAAGUAGCCUGAAUAAGCUCAGCGCUGACAUCUUGAGAGCCUCCUGUAAAAAGACUGGCUGCUCACAUAUAAACCUUCUUUCAAUACUGGGCCAUAAGGACUCAAACGUAGAGGAGGCUGUACUUUCUGUUUGCAAAGAGAAAAUCCUGAAGACAGCCAAGGAACCCAUUCUGAAAAGGUUCUUCUUCUCUGUCGGCAAAGCCCUCUGCAAGCCCUUUAAAAAGGCCUGAGGGCAACCUGGAGUCAUCCGGUUAGAACACUACCUGCUAAAAUCUACACGGCAGGUUUCCAACCAGAAGUCUGGAAAUAAUCAACACAGCUACAUUCACUGACCAAACAUUUCCACCAAAUCUUCACCAAGUCGGCACCCAGUAGACAUGGCCUGAAUGGGACAUAAUUUAAUCCACAGGCAGACAGAUGGAUGAUGGUGUCAGAAAUGUUGACUUUCAGGAAGCCGCUACGUCAGAAAGGGCCACCAGAGAGCAUGAGUGGUGGCAUGGUGAGUGAAGCAGUGGUGUCACAGGCAGCUACCGGAGCGUCUGGCAGUCAGUCAGAGCAGCAGGUGAAGGUCAGUGAACACAGAGUCUGUCUCGCAGGCUCUUCAGACAGCAUCACCAGCACUUGAUGGAGUUGGAUGGAGUUUGUGUUGUGGGUUUGUGUGAGGAUGGCUUGUAGAGAUCCACUAGCCUAGCUGAUGGAGCAUACCGAUGUCUUGGUGAACAAUGCUGGAACCAGACAUCUGUAAGCCCCACAUGCUGCGUAUUUAGGCUGUUUGAGAGUUUAUUUGUUUCCAUUGGUGAGCAUGUGGGAUAUACAGAUGUUGCAGCUGACCCAUGCUGGAACCAGACAUCUGUAUUUCCUCACAUGCUGCCAUUGAGCCUGGAAGGCAGUUUUGUGGCCUUGCCUGAAAUAUGCGGUGUAAAAUCGUCAUGGUUACCAA